AAUGCUUGGCUCACGUCUUGCGAUUUUAUGAGUGUAAUGUAAAUAGGUUCACGAAUGCAAUUGGAGGGCAAGUCUGGUGCCAGCAGCCGCGGUAAUUCCAGCUCCAAUAGCGUAUAUUAAAGUUGUUGCAGUUAAAAACUCGUAGUUGGAAUGGCAGUGUGUGCUGGCGAGCAUAGAUAAAGUAAUGCUUGCCGUGUGUGUGCACACUGGGCAUACGACGGGGCGGCCAUUCAGUUGGACUGCCGGCCGUGUAUGCCGACACGUUACUUUGACGAAAUUGGGGUGCUCAAAGCAGGCUCUGUCAGCCUGAACAUUUUAGCAUGGGAUAACACUGGGAACUGUCCUAUUUGUUGGUUACAUAGGUUAGCUCUUUGGUUAAUAGGGGCAGUUGGGGGCAUUAGUACUUGGAAGCUAGAGGUGAAAUUCUUGGACUUUCCAAUGACUACCUAAUGCGAAGGCAUUUGCCAAGGAUGUUCCCGUUAAUC
RNAcentral lists this ribosomal RNA (485 nucleotides) under uncultured eukaryote. RNAcentral's name for it is "bacterial SSU rRNA". It matches the Rfam family "Eukaryotic small subunit ribosomal RNA", at positions 477 to 978 of the family's 1831-position model. The record is from RNAcentral.